GAUGAACGCUGGCGGCGUGCCUAAUACAUGCAAGUCGAGCGAACAGACGAGGAGCUUGCUCCUCUGACGUUAGCGGCGGACGGGUGAGUAACACGUGGAUAACCUACCUAUAAGACUGGGAUAACUUCGGGAAACCGGAGCUAAUACCGGAUAAUAUAUUGAACCGCAUGGUUCAAUAGUGAAAGACGGUUUUGCUGUCACUUAUAGAUGGAUCCGCGCCGCAUUAGCUAGUUGGUAAGGUAACGGCUUACCAAGGCGACGAUGCGUAGCCGACCUGAGAGGGUGAUCGGCCACACUGGAACUGAGACACGGUCCAGACUCCUACGGGAGGCAGCAGUAGGGAAUCUUCCGCAAUGGGCGAAAGCCUGACGAAGCAACGCCGCGUGAGUGAUGAAGGUCUUCGGAUCGUAAAACUCUGUUAUUAGGGAAGAACAAAUGUGUAAGUAACUAUGCACGUCUUGACGGUACCUAAUCAGAAAGCCACGGCUAACUACGUG
Molecule: ribosomal RNA, 497 nt
Filed under: uncultured bacterium
Lineage: Bacteria
Description: partial 16S ribosomal RNA
Rfam family: Bacterial small subunit ribosomal RNA
Source: RNAcentral